RNAcentral lists this ribosomal RNA (433 nucleotides) under uncultured bacterium. Its description in RNAcentral is "partial 16S ribosomal RNA". It matches the Rfam family "Bacterial small subunit ribosomal RNA", at positions 29 to 507 of the family's 1533-position model. The record is from RNAcentral.
AACGAACGCUGGCGGCAUGCCUAACACAUGCAAGUCGAACGAGACCUUCGGGUCUAGUGGCGCACGGGUGCGUAACGCGUGGGAACCUGCCCUUAGGUUCGGAAUAACUCCCCGAAAGGGGUGCUAAUACCGGAUAAUGUCUUCGGACCAAAGAUUUAUCGCCUUUGGAUGGGCCCGCGUUGGUUUAGCUAGUUGGUAGGGUAAAAGCCUACCAAGGCGACGAUGCAUAGCUGGUCUGAGAGGAUGAUCAGGCACACUGGGACUGAGACACGGCCCAGACUCCUACGGGAGGCAGCAGAGGGGAAUAUUGGACAAUGGGCGAAAGCCUGAUCCAGCAAUGCCGCGUGAGUGAUGAAGGCCUUAGGGUUGUAAAGCUCUUUUACCCGGGAUGAUAAUGACAGUACCGGGAGAAUAAGCGCCGGCUAACUCCGUG